UACGUAGGGUGCAAGCGUCGUCCGGAUUUAUUGGGCGUAAAGAGCGUGUAGGCGGCCAUGUAGGUCCGUUGUGAAAACUCGAGGCUCAACCUCGAGACGCCGAUGGAAACCAUGUGGCUAGAGUCCGGAAGAGGAGAGUGGAAUUCCUGGUGUAGCGGUGAAAUGCGCAGAUAUCAGGAAGAACACCCGUGGCUAAGGCGGCUCUCUAGUACGGUACUGACGCUGAGACGCGAAAGCGUGGGGAGCGAACAGG
This 253-nucleotide ribosomal RNA is filed under the name uncultured bacterium. RNAcentral describes it as "partial 16S ribosomal RNA". It matches the Rfam family "Bacterial small subunit ribosomal RNA", at positions 524 to 776 of the family's 1533-position model. The record is from RNAcentral.